UCAAAGGCCACAAGUAAGGAACCCAAAUGGCACUUGUGGGUUUUGAACCCUGAACUUAGUUGCUGUAAUGAAGAAUGUUUUCUCUUUCAUCAUGGUGGCCAUUAUUCUGUUAGCCUUGUGAGCCGCACUCAUACCACCCUCAAGCUAAAAAAUAAGACCUGCUGACAGUAGGAAGAGUGUGGCCCUGAAUGAGUCACGCACAAGGACAUGAUAUGUGCCAGAGAAAAAGGAACAGGGAAAUGGAACAAGGAGACAGGAACGGCUCCCCCAGGUUUCAGCACCACACUCUCUCCCACGAGCUGACUCGUGGCUCAUGACUUGCCCAGUCAUGAGCUGUCAACACGGUGCUGAUGUGCCUCAGCCACAAUGCAGUCCCUGAUGUGUUUCAGCAUGCCAUCGUCAAACACACACAAGAAGGCCGUGAGCGCAUCUCCGAUGUUGCGCUUCGUGUGUGCUGUGGGCCAGCACAAUAGAACAAUGGAAUAGUGCGAAAUUCACUGCGGCCAAUAUGACCGUGUAUAGCCGAAAUAGGUAAAAAUGAAAUCAUAUUUUCUUGGCCUUUUGUGUAAUUUAUAUAAAACCUAUUGUAAAUAAAAAUACAAACACUUAGGAAAAGUCAGGUACCAGCAAGAUUGUAUUUUUUUUAUUCAACAAAGUUAUUGCACAUAUAAAUUUCAAAACGGUCAAAAUGACCGUCGUGGCCGUUCUAGUGUUAAUAAUCUUGUAAUGCAGCGUUAAGGUGUAUUCACAUUACACCGGAAUAACAAGGCUCUUGAGCUGCACAUUCCACAUUGGUUGGUGCAGUAUUUACCACUCCAUAACUCCUUGUGGCACUGUAACUUUACUAAACGGCGCCACCUUAGCUACAAUGCUAACGUUGCUAGCAGUAGAUCGCAACAUUUCAGAUACUCACUCUGUGUUUUUGUAACAAACCUGGUAGCUGCAUCUGCAUGUUGAUAUUUCGCCAGGCGAAUA
This is a long non-coding RNA of Siniperca chuatsi (mandarin fish), 975 nucleotides long. RefSeq lists it as uncharacterized. The transcript has 3 exons. The record is from RefSeq and is a predicted model, not a curated record. Lineage: Eukaryota; Metazoa; Chordata; Actinopteri; Centrarchiformes; Sinipercidae.